GUCCACGCCGUAAACGAUGAGAACUAGGUGUCGAGGGUGUUGACCCCCGCGGUGCCGAAGCUAACGCAUUAAGUUCUCCGCCUGGGAAGUACGGCCGCAAGGCUAAAACUCAAAGGAAUUGACGGGGCCCGCACAAGCGGUGGAGCAUGUGGUUUAAUUCGACGCAACGCGCAGAACCUUACCUGGUCUUGACAUCCUUCGAAUCUGCUAGAGAUAGCGGAGUGCCCGCAAGGGGAGCGGAGAGACAGGUGCUGCAUGGCUGUCGU
RNAcentral lists this ribosomal RNA (266 nucleotides) under uncultured bacterium. RNAcentral describes it as "partial 16S ribosomal RNA". It matches the Rfam family "Bacterial small subunit ribosomal RNA", at positions 793 to 1055 of the family's 1533-position model. The record is from RNAcentral.